Molecule: non-coding RNA, 830 nt
Organism: Jatropha curcas
Lineage: Eukaryota; Viridiplantae; Streptophyta; Magnoliopsida; Malpighiales; Euphorbiaceae
Source: RefSeq, a predicted model, not a curated record
AUUUCAAAAUCCACCAAAUUAAUGAUAGUUGCAAUUAUAUUUGACUGUAUUGGAGAGGACAUGGUGAUAACGCCAAAAUCUUCGUUUACAGCUGAGCGUACAACUGUGCAGGAAGGUUUACCCCAACCACUAUAUUGAACCCACCCUCAACUUCAGCCGAGAUGCACCCUCCAUCCAAGUCUUCCGUAUGCCAAAAAGAAAAGUCUGCCCGAGUUGAUGAGCCCUUUUACCGAAAUAGAAAUACACAACUGAAUCUUUUAACAGCUGAUCGCAUUCUCCUACUUAUUUCCAUCCCACAACCAGACUUUUCAGCAAAUAAUUAGCAAAAAAUUCAUCUUAAUGACUACAUACGUAACCUAAAAAGAAUUCCUAUUCACAUAAGUAACCGAAGAAUUCAUCUUAAGGAUACUGCAAAAAUUACGAAUUUCUUGUCAUUCUAGGGGGCGAUAAUGAUUUUAAUGAAAGGGGUGACCUUGUGACAGAAUAAGAUUAGUGACAAGGAGGUCAUGUUAUAAAAUUCCAUUGUGUUGAUUUCUUCUUUUUGUAAAGCUGUAGUGUCUUUUUCUUUGAAAAGCAGACACCAUCCAAGUUUCUGCACGCUGGACAUGAUUGGAUGCGAACAGUUUAACAGAACUUGCUAAUUAGAUUUCCGUACUAUUUGGAUGCGUAGGACUGCCUCUUUUUUUAUUAAAAAUGUGGCUAAGAUUGUCCAAGAGUACAAGAAGAGGCAUCUUGAAGGGGACAAAGACGCUAUUGAUUCAAAGUUAACAAGUUGCUUUUUGACACUGCCUACUACUUUUCACAAGGAUCUAUCAGGUGGAGUACACUAA